CUGAUAUGAAAUUCUAGGCUUCAAACCUAGGUAAGAAUUUCCUUUGAUGUCUUAGUAGGGAUUUGAUCUUGCUAAUGACAUAAAUGCUAUACAGCUAGAGAAUAGUAAAUAAGCACUCACAGAACUUUCCAAGCACUAGUUACAUGCUUUUACAAACAUUCUCUUUAUCACUUCAAUUAUAUCAACUGUGAACUGUAGUAGAGAUUUUUCCUUUUACUGUUAACACCCA
This 229-nucleotide long non-coding RNA is filed under the name Elaeis guineensis (African oil palm). RNAcentral describes it as "long non-coding RNA (EGUI_LNC081856)". The record is from RNAcentral. Lineage: Eukaryota; Viridiplantae; Streptophyta; Magnoliopsida; Arecales; Arecaceae.